Molecule: long non-coding RNA, 1067 nt
Filed under: Phasianus colchicus (ring-necked pheasant)
Lineage: Eukaryota; Metazoa; Chordata; Aves; Galliformes; Phasianidae
Description: lncRNA (ENSPCLG00000019642.1)
Source: RNAcentral
GAACAAUCUUCCACAAAUUUUGGUUCCUAAUGAAUCAUUUGUAGGAUAUAAAUUAAUUUUUGCAUCUCCUUUUGGUGGAGAUGUAGAAUUCAUUUCCUGCUGGAAAGGCUACUGGAAUAAUAAUGCACAGGUGGCUUGAGACCUAGCAUAAAUAUAUUAUGCCUUGGUAUGUCUCAUCUAUUAUGUAAAUAUGCAGUAUGCUCUGCACAGAAGGAGUGGAGUGAUGCUGAAGUGGGGUCGCACGCUUUCUGGCAGAGGUUUGUGAUGGUGUCCAACCAUGCAAAUCAAGCAUUGUGACCGUAGGAACUAUGGCUUCCAAACGGAUGUGCUCCCAAGGGAGGUUAGGAUACAAGCCUGGUCUCCUCAUUUUGUUUUCAUGGCAAAUGACCCAUUUACCAUUUACAGUCCCUGGAGGUUUUCAAGAAAAGGGUCGAUGUGGCACUGAGGAAAAUGGAAGUACUGCAGUGGUUUUACAGAAGAAGAAACAACCCAAGCAAACAGAACAGCUCUGCAGCCCUAAGCCUGACAUCUGGUAUAAUCGAAGCUGCUGAAACUCAGAGCAGAGCCCCAGCAGGAUCACUUCCCCUUGUCAAGACCCUCUAUGAGAAUUAAAUGCAAAUGGGAUUUGAUUUUGCUUGUGGCCUUAUCUUUUGUGUAAGGGCAUUAAACAUCCCCUUUGGGCUUUCAGCUCUGUCCACCACCUACUCCACCGCCUUCCUCCCCCCUGUGGAGUGGGCACAACAGAGCUCCACGAAUGCACAUCAGCACUGCUCCUGACAUGCAGCACUGCAUCCCAAAUUCGUGGAAAACAGCUACGUGCAGAAUGUAAACCAGCCCUGGCCAUGGUCAGCCCUGAGGUCCUGAUCUCUCAAUCAUUUGUAUCAGUAUGUUGUCUAAACCAUGUCCGUACAAACUGAUUUUCCUCCCAUUGAAGCCUGCUCAUGGGAGGGUGAUUCAUAGCCCUUUGUAUUUCAUCCUGCUGCCAGGUUGGGAUGCAGAAAGGUCCAUGGGUUUUGCUGCUCACAGCCUGUGGAGCUUCCCAAUGACUGAUGGCUCUCGGGUCAGGC